This 253-nucleotide ribosomal RNA is filed under the name uncultured bacterium. Its description in RNAcentral is "partial 16S ribosomal RNA". It matches the Rfam family "Bacterial small subunit ribosomal RNA", at positions 524 to 776 of the family's 1533-position model. The record is from RNAcentral.
UACGUAGGGUGCGAGCGUUGUCCGGAAUCACUGGGCGUAAAGGGUGCGUAGGCGGGUCUUUAAGUCAGGGGUGAAAUCCUGGAGCUCAACUCCAGAACUGCCUUUGAUACUGAGGAUCUUGAGUUCGGGAGAGGUGAGUGGAACUGCGAGUGUAGAGGUGAAAUUCGUAGAUAUUCGCAAGAACACCAGUGGCGAAGGCGGCUCACUGGCCCGAUACUGACGCUGAGGCACGAAAGCGUGGGGAGCAAACAGG